AACCGUCGUCUGUUUCAUUCCCGCGUGGGUUUCAUGGGUGUUGGGUGGCGGUGGUGAGGGUCUUGUCUGAAUUUCAAUUGCUUCAUAGCUAAGAGGCACUCUGAUUUGUCCUUGGUCAAAUCAUCGGAUCACAUGGCUUGACUGCUGUCCAUUUUGCCAUAAUGUCCUCCAUUUCUAUGUGUACCAGCUGUAUGUCUCAUCUGAUACUGAAACACUUUACAGAAGAAGUUUCACAGCCAGGUGAAGUCUGAGCUUCUGCAGUGCUGUCUAACGUGCUCAUGGAUUUGUUGCAGCCAGCUGGCAUAAGGUGUUCCUCUUGCUGGCUUUCUACCCGUACCAGCUUUUCCCACUUACAGAAACAAUAGAGAACAAUUCUGAAUAGUAAAGCUGAUAAAAUUUUUACGUUAGGAUUAACAGUCCUUUGAAUUCUUGGCUUAAGCUAAUAAGCUAUUUCAUCACUGCAUUCUAAUGUGGAUUUGUUAAGCCAGCUAGUUAAUUUUUCAUCAUACAAUGUUCUUAAAGGCACCUUUUUAAAAAUGUAACUUCAGCCAUCUAAACCAGCAUUUGUAUCCAAUUGUUUAGGCUGCACGGAAUUCUCAUUUCCCUUUGAUGUGAACUUCAAUAACAUGCACUAAUUGAAGGUUUACGUUCCCAGAGUUGCUGCCUAAUCUGGCGUGUUGUUCCAGCCUAUGCCGAUGAAAGAUAUUUUUUCUUCAAGUUGAAAUGAGGCUGUUCCUUGGUGCUGGCGUCGUGUAGCGGAAGUUGCAUCCUGUAUUUUGUUCAAUGGUACAAGUGUCUUUAUCGUUUAUAUGUUGAGAAGUUAUAGAAUAUGGGGAGUUCUUACGUAAAAUAAAUAAUAAAUAUUUUCGGGAUUGGAAAACACCGAGGAGGAAGAUGGUGGGGGGUGGGAUGGGUUGAUUUGACUUAAAUUGAAAUGCUAAUUAAUAGUGACGUGAAAGUCAGUGUUGACACUCUUAUUAACCCAUAACCCAACAUAAAUUCAAAUAUCUAUAGAUCUAGAUUAUCUCUAUACCCGCUAUUACCCAUCCCUCUCACUCCCCUAAUGCUCAUACUUCUAAUAUCCAAACUCCUAAUACCCAUCCUUUUUAAUCUCAUACCUAAUUAAUGUAUACAUUUAACAUAAAAUAAACAAA
RNAcentral lists this long non-coding RNA (1154 nucleotides) under Daphnia pulex (common water flea). RNAcentral's name for it is "uncharacterized LOC124200154, transcript variant X2". Lineage: Eukaryota; Metazoa; Arthropoda; Branchiopoda; Diplostraca; Daphniidae. The record is from RNAcentral.